This is a long non-coding RNA of Nerophis lumbriciformis (worm pipefish), 603 nucleotides long. RefSeq lists it as uncharacterized. NCBI's taxonomy places the organism in Eukaryota, Metazoa, Chordata, Actinopteri, Syngnathiformes, Syngnathidae. The record is from RefSeq and is a predicted model, not a curated record.
GUUUGGGGACCCCUGGUGUAUACCCACCGACCACUUGGCUACAUAGCGAAAGAUGAGGCACUACAACAACAGUGGGACGAAGCCGGAGUACCUGGAGGGAACCCACGCAGUCACGGGGAGAACAUGCAAACUCCACACAGAAAGACCCGAGCCCGGGAUCAAACCCAGGACCUUCUUAUUAUCUGCUGGGUUUACUUUUGGCAGUGAGGGCCAAGCAGACUGACUCCAUUAACAGCAAGGAUCCUGUCUCCUGGUUUCAGCUUGUCGCAGCGGGCUGCAGGAGUGUCUGGGACCACCGCCCUGAUGAAGAUACCUUUCACCUUCGAUGGGAGAUCCUGGAACAUGAGGUCAUGUUGUGAACAACACUCUUAAGGGUAAUGUCCUUAUACUGUCCUGUAUAGCCAGCUGCAAUGCACUCAAUGAUCAAGGUCCAGAUGCAUCGUUAGUACCAGGACAUUCAAACACGGCCGAUAUACGCGCAGCCCCCUUCUUAUGUGGUCACACUCACAAGACACAUUGUGCAUUUUGAUUUUUGAUACUUAAUUUAAAGUGGCAUCAUGAUCCUUUUAUCCUCAUCUCAAUGGAUGUUUGCAGGUGUCUCAA